UACGAGGGGGGCGAGCGUUGUUCGGAAUUAUUGGGCGUAAAGAGCUCGUAGGCGGUUUGUUGCGUCGGCUGUGAAAUCCCGAGGCUCAACCUCGGGUCUGCAGUCGAUACGAGCAAACUAGAGUGUUGCAGGGGAGACUGGAAUUCCUGGUGUAGCGGUGAAAUGCGCAGAUAUCAGGAGGAACACCGGUGGCGAAGGCGGGUCUCUGGGCAACAACUGACGCUGAGGAGCGAAAGCGUGGGGAGCGAACAGG
This 253-nucleotide ribosomal RNA is filed under the name uncultured bacterium. Its description in RNAcentral is "partial 16S ribosomal RNA". It matches the Rfam family "Bacterial small subunit ribosomal RNA", at positions 524 to 776 of the family's 1533-position model. The record is from RNAcentral.